This 84-nucleotide transfer RNA is filed under the name Felis catus (domestic cat). It matches the Rfam family "tRNA". Rfam says of the family: Transfer RNA (tRNA) molecules are approximately 80 nucleotides in length. Their secondary structure includes four short double-helical elements and three loops (D, anti-codon, and T loops). Lineage: Eukaryota; Metazoa; Chordata; Mammalia; Carnivora; Felidae. The record is from Rfam by way of RNAcentral.
GCCUGGGUGGCUCAGUCGGUUAAGCGUCCGACUUUGGCUCAGGUCACCAUCUCAGGUUUGUGGGUUCGAGCCCCACAUCGGGCU